RNAcentral lists this ribosomal RNA (230 nucleotides) under uncultured organism. Its description in RNAcentral is "partial 18S ribosomal RNA". It matches the Rfam family "Eukaryotic small subunit ribosomal RNA", at positions 1205 to 1456 of the family's 1831-position model. The record is from RNAcentral.
GCGGGAAAACUUACCAGGUCCAGACAUAGUGAGGAUUGACAGAUUGAGAGCUCUUUCUUGAUUCUAUGGGUGGUGGUGCAUGGCCGUUCUUAGUUGGUGGGUUGCCUUGUCAGGUUGAUUCCGGUAACGAACGAGACCUCAGCCUGCUAAAUAGUUACUCCUACUUUGGUAGGAGGCGAACUUCUUAGAGGGACUAUUGGCGUUUAGCUAAUGGAAGUGUGAGGCAAUAA